RNAcentral lists this long non-coding RNA (440 nucleotides) under Anas platyrhynchos platyrhynchos (common mallard). RNAcentral describes it as "lncRNA (ENSAPLG00000023005.1)". The record is from RNAcentral. Lineage: Eukaryota; Metazoa; Chordata; Aves; Anseriformes; Anatidae.
GGGACUUGCAUACAUAAGUAACUUUAUACACCUGGUAUGAACCAAACAUAUUUAAUUAUAUAUAUAUUUUUCUUAAUUUUUCUAUAUGUAUAUAUGUAAAUGAAGGAUUACAGAUACAAAUGUGUUCCAUCCUUAAUCAGAAAGGAAUAUUAGGAGUUCUGUUACAAAAUGGUGUCUUGAGACCAUCAUUAGUUAUUAUUAAUUUUCCUCUUCAGGAGCAGAACAUGCCAGGUGAUGUGGGGUUUCUGAUGCUAGCAUAUUGUGCCACUGCAUACCAGCCAGCUGAGUACCUUCUAUAGAAUAAGAUUCAUGUCCCCAGCAAGCAUGCACACUGGUUUGGGCUACAUCAGCACCAAGACAGUCCCUUGGUAAUUUUCUGUUGUGCCAAGGCUACUAACAGGUAUGAACUGCACCAUGCUUGAGCAGGUCCUCCUCAACAC